Molecule: non-coding RNA, 45 nt
Filed under: Echinostoma caproni
Lineage: Eukaryota; Metazoa; Platyhelminthes; Trematoda; Plagiorchiida; Echinostomatidae
Source: RNAcentral
GAACUGCUGACGAGUCCCAAACAGGACGAAACAACUGUUCAGUGC